RNAcentral lists this ribosomal RNA (382 nucleotides) under uncultured bacterium. RNAcentral describes it as "bacterial SSU rRNA". It matches the Rfam family "Bacterial small subunit ribosomal RNA", at positions 28 to 405 of the family's 1533-position model. The record is from RNAcentral.
GAUGAACGCUAGCGGCAGGCUUAAUACAUGCAAGUCGAGGGGUAGCAUGAUUGUAGCAAUACAAUUGAUGACGACCGGCAAACGGGUGCGGAACACGUACACAACCUUCCUACAAGUGGGGAAUAGCCCAGAGAAAUUUGGAUUAAUACCCCGUAACAUAGCGAUGUGGCAUCACAUUGCUAUUAUAGCUUCGGCGCUUGUUGAUGGGUGUGCGGCUGAUUAGAUAGUUGGCGGGGUAACGGCCCACCAAGUCUACGAUCAGUAGCUGAUGUGAGAGCAUGAUCAGCCACACGGGCACUGAGACACGGGCCCGACUCCUACGGGAGGCAGCAGUAAGGAAUAUUGGUCAAUGGGCGCAAGCCUGACAGCCAUGCCGCGUGCA